RNAcentral lists this ribosomal RNA (496 nucleotides) under uncultured bacterium. RNAcentral describes it as "partial 16S ribosomal RNA". It matches the Rfam family "Bacterial small subunit ribosomal RNA", at positions 29 to 507 of the family's 1533-position model. The record is from RNAcentral.
AUGCACGCUGGCGGCGUGCCUAAUCCAUGCAAGUCGAGCGAACAGACGAGGAGCUUGCUCCUCUGACGUUAGCGGCGGACGGGUGAGUAACACGUGGAUAACCUACCUAUAAGACUGGGAUAACUUCGGGAAACCGGAGCUAAUACCGGAUAAUAUAUUGAACCGCAUGGUUCAAUAGUGAAAGACGGUUUUGCUGUCACUUAUAGAUGGAUCCGCGCCGCAUUAGCUAGUUGGUAAGGUAACGGCUUACCAAGGCAACGAUGCGUAGCCGACCUGAGAGGGUGAUCGGCCACACUGGAACUGAGACACGGUCCAGACUCCUACGGGAGGCAGCAGUAGGGAAUCUUCCGCAAUGGGCGAAAGCCUGACGGAGCAACGCCGCGUGAGUGAUGAAGGUCUUCGGAUCGUAAAACUCUGUUAUUAGGGAAGAACAAAUGUGUAAGUAGCUAUGCACGUCUUGACGGUACCUAAUCAGAAAGCCACGGCUAACUACGUG